Molecule: non-coding RNA, 921 nt
Organism: Theobroma cacao (cacao)
Lineage: Eukaryota; Viridiplantae; Streptophyta; Magnoliopsida; Malvales; Malvaceae
Source: RefSeq, a predicted model, not a curated record
AUAUAGAACUAAAAUAUUUAGACACAAAGAGGUCCGAGCGUGACUGUCAAAUCUACAUAUUCUCUCUCUCUCUCUCUCUUUCUUUCUUUCGCUCUAAAAACUCUCUCUCAUGAUUCAGAAAAACUCUGUUCUUUUAAUUUUUGGUUCCUGAGAUUCGAUUCAAUCGGCGAUCUUUUUCCACUGAUCCUCGGGAAUCCCUCGUCUUCCUUCUUUCAAUCUGUGUCUCCUUCCCAGAAUAUAAUGCUCCAGAUUUUCAAGGCCCGGUUUUGAUUUGAUAGAACUCUGACUCAGCAAGUGGGGAAAAAUAUGGAGGGUGACGCGUUCUCAGGGCUUGGCAAUGGUACUCAGAUAGAUGGCAAGAUCGUGCAGACAUUUCAGAAGAGCUUUGUUCAGGUUCAGCAUAUCUUGGACCAGAAUAGGCUGCUCAUCAAUGAGAUAAACCAGAAUCAUGAGUCCAAGAUCCCUGACAACUUGAGCAGAAAUGUUGGUCUAAUUAGGGAGCUCAACAACAACAUAAGAAGAGUGGUUGACCUCUAUGCUGAUCUUUCAAGUUCCUUCACCAAGUCCGUGGAUGCCUCGUCUGAGGGGGAUUCUAGCGGUGCUAUGAAAUCAGACGGCAAAGCUGGUCACAAAAGAAACAGGCCGGCUUGAUUUAGAGAGAAAAGUUGGGUUUUUUUCUUUUUUAUUAGUAAUUCUUUUGCAUGGUGCCAAAUGAAGAAUCUUCACAGCUUUGUUGAGGUAGUAGAAAAUGGUCAGAUUCUGUAACUCCCCUCGUAUUAGUGAUGAACUGUCUUUAGUUCUCGACUUACUGCUCACAUUUGUUAGUCAAAAUAAUCGGUCUAAAAUUUCUUCUAUUGCAUUGUAACUCCGUGUAACCCUGGAUCUAAUUGAAAUGAAGCAUGUGGGUGUUCAUUUCUAAUU